GCGUGGGAAUCUACCCAUCCCUACGGAACAACUCCGGGAAACUGGAGCUAAUACCGUAUACGCCUCCGGGAAGGAUUAUCGGGAGUGGAUGAGCCCGCGUUGGAUUAGCUAGUUGGUGGGGUAAGUGGCCUACCAAGGCGACGAUCCAUAGCUGGUCUGAGAGGAUGAUCAGCCACACUGGAACUGAGACACGGUCCAGACUCCUACGGGAGGCAGCAGUGGGGAAUAUUGCACAAUGGGCGCAAGCCUGAUGCAGCCAUGCCGCGUGUGUGAAGAAGGCUCUAGGGUUGUAAAGCACUU
This 300-nucleotide ribosomal RNA is filed under the name uncultured Hyphomicrobiales bacterium. Its description in RNAcentral is "bacterial SSU rRNA". It matches the Rfam family "Bacterial small subunit ribosomal RNA", at positions 115 to 435 of the family's 1533-position model. Lineage: Bacteria; Pseudomonadati; Pseudomonadota; Alphaproteobacteria; Hyphomicrobiales. The record is from RNAcentral.